GUGUCAGCCGCCGCGGUAAGACGAACCGUGCAAACGUUGUUCGGAAUCACUGGGCAUAAAGGGCGCGUAGGCGGCCCGACCAGUCUGCGGUGAAAGCCUCCCGCUUAACGGGAGAAGGGCCGUGGAUACUGUCGGGCUCGAGGGAGACAGGGGCAGGUGGAACUUCCGGUGGAGCGGUGAAAUGCGUUGAGAUCGGAAGGAACUCCGGUGGCGAAAGCGGCCUGCUGGAUCUCUACUGACGCUGAGGCGCGAAAGCCAGGGGAGCAAACGGGAUUAGAUACCCCCGUAGUCC
This 292-nucleotide ribosomal RNA is filed under the name uncultured bacterium. RNAcentral's name for it is "partial 16S ribosomal RNA". It matches the Rfam family "Bacterial small subunit ribosomal RNA", at positions 505 to 796 of the family's 1533-position model. The record is from RNAcentral.